Long non-coding RNA from Ailuropoda melanoleuca (giant panda), 753 nucleotides. RefSeq lists it as uncharacterized. NCBI's taxonomy places the organism in Eukaryota, Metazoa, Chordata, Mammalia, Carnivora, Ursidae. The record is from RefSeq and is a predicted model, not a curated record. The transcript has 6 exons.
AACUAGAGCUUAAUAUCUUUGGGGACUUCUGGGAGCCAGGGUACAACGUGUGCCUCAGAGUGAUCCCAAAUGGGGGGAGGAAGCUGGGGUAUUUAUGCACCAGCUCCAAUCGUUUGGAGACUGCUGGGAAAGGGCAAUUGAUGACCUGCUGGGGAGCAGACAGAAGGACUGGCUGCUGAAGAAAGUCCUCAGGCAAAGAGAUGCCACUUACCACAACCCUGAGCGAGGCCCAGGUGUCAUCAGUGAUGGAAGAACAGAAGGAUGAAGAGGACUCAUGACUGAAAACUGCAUUGCUGUGGAUCCAAAGGGAACCAAAAAUGGAGGAAAAAAGCCAUUUGUACCACUAAUGGGUACACACCAUCUGCAUCUUAAUGACUUUCAAGAAAUUAACAGCUAAUCUUGGAGAGUUCUACCAUGUUGGAUCAAGAGUAAAUACAAGGAGAUAUGUGAGAAGACACAUUGAACAGAAUGGGGUGUUUGCUUCCCUGGAUCAGAAAAGAAUCACAUCGCUUUCUUUCAGUCAUGGCACAGAGUUACAGAGUCAAGAGAAAGAAACAACAGAAAGAAAAUGUUUUCUGGUGGAAAGGUGUGUGUCAGACUACAUUCCACGGAAGAGAGUUUGUUUGAAGAUACAACAAGGAAACCGUGGUCUACAACCCCGGAAGAGGGCUCUCACCAGGACCUGACCAUACUGGACUGAUCUGUGACUUCUAGCCUCCAGAACCGUGAGAAAUAAAUGUCUGUUGUUUAUAA